This 291-nucleotide long non-coding RNA is filed under the name Salvia miltiorrhiza (redroot sage). Its description in RNAcentral is "long non-coding RNA (SMIL_LNC001486)". Lineage: Eukaryota; Viridiplantae; Streptophyta; Magnoliopsida; Lamiales; Lamiaceae. The record is from RNAcentral.
UAGAGCACCUCCAACGCUGCACCCAUAGUGGGUGCAAUAGAAGUGGUCCCACCUUCUAUUGCACCCACUCCAGCAACGCUUGCACCCUCUAUUGCACCCAUUUCUUUUUUUUUUGUUUUUUUUUUUUUGGUUUGAAAAGGGGCGCGUGUAAACACGCCCCUUCCUUCGCUCCCACAGCAGCCGAGUGCGACCCAUCGCCCCCCUCCCUUCGCUCCCGGGUGCAGCAACGGCGCUGGGUGCGAUAGGCCGGGUUCGAUCCGGCCUUCGCACCCAGCGCUGCGGAUGCUCUUA